GAGAAAGAGCGGAGGAGGGAGAGGAGGAACAGCAGCAGCAGCCGGGGAAAGGAAGGGAAAACAAUCAGUGCGUGCGUGCUCCGCGCCGGGCCCCCCAAAGGGCGGCCGCGCUCCCUUUGUUUCCCGCCGCCCCGGCCCCGGCUCCUACCUGUCCCCUCGCCCCCCGGACGCCCCUGGAUCUGGGCCCGGGUCCCUGGGACGCGGCGGUGACAGCGGCGACGGCACGACGGGCGCCGCGGCCGCUCGGGGAGGGCAGGGGGAGCAGGCGCUGCUCCGCCGCCGCGGCCGCUCCAGUCCGAGUUGCGGGCGGCGGGGCGGAGCGGACUGCGGUGCGGGGGCCGCGGGCGUGAGGCGGCGGCGGAGCCGGAGGAGAAGGCGGCUGCGGGAGGGCGCGACGCCCGCGGCAGCUGCUGCCCGUGUCCGAGCGCCCAGCCGCCCCCCAGCCGCAGCAACCGCAGCAACCGCAGCAACCGCAGCCGCCGCGCGGGGCCCGGGAGAAAGUUUAGCAAAGGCUCGGCGGAGGCGCGGGGAGCUCGGAGCCCGGCGACGCCGCACUGUCCCUGGGAGCCGCCGGCAGCCCAGCCUGGCCCUGCCUCUGCCUCCGCCUCCCUCCCUCCCCUCUCGGUCUCACGCGGCCCGCGCGCGCUCCCUCGCGCUCGCGCCC
Molecule: long non-coding RNA, 664 nt
Filed under: Sarcophilus harrisii (Tasmanian devil)
Lineage: Eukaryota; Metazoa; Chordata; Mammalia; Dasyuromorphia; Dasyuridae
Description: lncRNA (ENSSHAG00000026734.1)
Source: RNAcentral